GGCGCCAAAGUUUCAAUGGAGUGAGGAUGCUGCAGAAAAUACCAAGCUUUUAUGGCAAUUUUCAAGUCAGAGCAGCAGUUGAAGAUAUAUUUCAUUUGGGAUGGAUGAGGACAUGGGAUUGUUUGGUUUCCUUCAAAACAUAUGGAGCAUUCUUUAUCAGAACUUUCCAUAUUUUUUGCCUCGACCUGGAAUUGUAUUGGUGGAUGGAUA
RNAcentral lists this unclassified non-coding RNA (210 nucleotides) under Hevea brasiliensis (rubber tree). Lineage: Eukaryota; Viridiplantae; Streptophyta; Magnoliopsida; Malpighiales; Euphorbiaceae. The record is from RNAcentral.